This 464-nucleotide ribosomal RNA is filed under the name uncultured bacterium. Its description in RNAcentral is "partial 16S ribosomal RNA". It matches the Rfam family "Bacterial small subunit ribosomal RNA", at positions 36 to 507 of the family's 1533-position model. The record is from RNAcentral.
CCUCCCUCUGGCUGCGUGCUUAACACAUGCAAGUCGAACGGAAAGGCCCCAGCUUGCUGGGGUACUCGAGUGGCGAACGGGUGAGUAACACGUGGGUGAUCUGCCCUGCACUCUGGGAUAAGCCUGGGAAACUGGGUCUAAUACCGGAUAGGACCGUGCUUUAGUGUGUGCGGUGGAAAGUUUUUCGGUGCAGGAUGAGCCCGCGGCCUAUCAGCUUGUUGGUGGGGUAAUGGCCUACCAAGGCGGCGACGGGUAGCCGGCCUGAGAGGGUGUACGGCCACAUUGGGACUGAGACACGGCCCAGACUCCUACGGGAGGCAGCAGUGGGGAAUAUUGCACAAUGGGCGCAAGUCUGAUGCAGCGACGCCGCGUGGGGGAUGACGGCCUUCGGGUUGUAAACCCCUUUCGGCAGGGACGAAGCUUUUGUGACGGUACCUGCAUAAGAAGCACCGGCUAACUACGUG